RNAcentral lists this small nuclear RNA (151 nucleotides) under Zalophus californianus (California sea lion). RNAcentral's name for it is "U4 spliceosomal RNA (ENSZCAG00015004984.1)". The stretch from base 1 to 135 matches the Rfam family "U4 spliceosomal RNA". Rfam says of the family: U4 small nuclear RNA (U4 snRNA) is a component of the major U2-dependent spliceosome. The structure of U4 snRNA from yeast and human has been reported. RNAcentral also lists the same sequence under 1 other name. The record is from RNAcentral. Lineage: Eukaryota; Metazoa; Chordata; Mammalia; Carnivora; Otariidae.
AGCUUUGCGCAGUGGCAGUAUCGUAGCCAAUGAGGUUUAUCUGAGGCCAGGUGAUUAUUGCUAAUUGAAAACUUUUACCAUAAACCAUGCCCAUAUAAGACAGCAAUCUUAAUAUACUUUGUGUGUGUUCUGACUUUUCCACUGACUGGAA